AUUACAGGUGUGCAUGCCACUGUGCCCAGCCCCAGCCCUUUUAAAAAUUUUUUUAUUUUGAGAAAGUCUCAUUAAUUUGCUGAGGCUGGCCUCAAACUUGUAAUCCUUCUGCCUCAGCAUUCAAGGUCUCUGGGAUUACAGUGUUUCAUCACACCUGAUUAGAAUUAAUUCUUUUUAUUCAUAAACAAUGUUUACUACUUACAAGUCAUGCACAACUGCUGCACAUAAUGAGCACUGCAGAAAUAUUUUUAUUUUUUAUUAUUUUUGUUUUGUGGUACUAGGGAUUCAACCUAGGGGUGCUGUACACUGAGCCACAUCUGUGGCCCUUUUUAUUUUAUUUUGAGGUGGAAUCUUGUUAAGUUGCCCAGUGUGGCUUGGAACUUGCCAUCCUCCAGCCUCAAGUUCCAGAGUUACUAGGGUUAAAGUAGUGAUUCUCCAAGCUCUACUAGUGAGGAAACAGGCUGAGCAAUAUGAAAAUUUAGCCUGCCAAGAUCACCCAGCCUUAGAUGGGUGGAGCUAGGACAGUGGCCCUUAUUUAUUCAACUCCAGUGUCUGGGUUUUCCUCACUACUCUGUAGAAUAUUGCAGGAUGACCAAAGAUGCAUUCCAAAGGGACAUGAAGCCAGAACAGGACUGUUUAGGAACAUACAAGAGGCAUUAUAGGGAAGACGAGUACCCUGAGAAAAAGAAAACCAGAAGUAGCCAGGCAUGAUGACAUGCCUGUAAUCCCGGCAACUUUAUAGACGGGAACAUCACAACUUUAAAGCCAGCCUCAGCAAUGUAGGGAGGCCCUAAGCAACUUUGUGAGACCCUGUCUCAAACAUAAAUGAUAAAAAUAAUAAUAAAAAGGGCUACUAAUGUGGCUCAGUGGUAAAGGGCCCCUGGGUUCAAUCCCCAGUAUCAAAAUUUAAAAAUGAGAAGGAACAUGUAGCCAUAAGGGAACUCAAAGUGGGCCUGGGAAUAUAAGAAGUUGCCCUUGUGAGGCCAGUGAUGAAUGCAGCAAGUGAGACAUUUAGAACUGGUUCUCGGGUUUUAUACAGGCAGCAACAGCAGCACCUAGGAGUCUGUUAGACUCUGCACUCAAAGGUAGAUCUCAGUGACUUGGGAGCCUAAGGCAGGAGGAUUGAAAGUUCAAGGCCAGCCUCAACUCAAUGAGGCCUUCAGCAACUUAUUGAGAAUCUGUCUCAAACUAAAUAAAAAGUACCAGGGAUUUAGCUCAGUGGUAAACCUCCCCUGAGUUCAAUCCUCAGUACAAAAAUAAAAAGGGGAUGGGGUGUUGCUGAGUGAUAGAGCACCCCUGGAUUCAAUUCCUAACAUCAAAAAACAAAAAGGGCUAGAGAUACAGCUUUGUGAUAGAGCACCCCUG
This 1365-nucleotide long non-coding RNA is filed under the name Marmota monax (woodchuck). Lineage: Eukaryota; Metazoa; Chordata; Mammalia; Rodentia; Sciuridae. The record is from RNAcentral.